RNAcentral lists this ribosomal RNA (285 nucleotides) under Triticum aestivum (bread wheat). RNAcentral's name for it is "partial small subunit ribosomal RNA". The record is from RNAcentral. Lineage: Eukaryota; Viridiplantae; Streptophyta; Magnoliopsida; Poales; Poaceae.
AUGAUCAGCAGGAUCCUGAAGAGGGUCCGUGGCUUGUACCCUCAGUACAUCGGCGUUGAUGUCGAGUAUACCAGGGAAGACGAACCUCCGCAAAGGGCAGCGGUUCUGCAGUUAUGCGUGGAGGAACUCUGUCUGGUAUACCACAUCACCGCGGCAACAAAAUGGCCCAAGAGCCUGCGCCCAUUCCUGAAGGAGGACAGGUUCUACACCUUUGCCGGCUUCAGUAUUGAAGGUGACACAGAGAUGCUGCGAAGUUCUGGUUUGGAGAUCAACCCCGACAAGUAA